Molecule: ribosomal RNA, 253 nt
Filed under: uncultured bacterium
Lineage: Bacteria
Description: partial 16S ribosomal RNA
Rfam family: Bacterial small subunit ribosomal RNA
Source: RNAcentral
UACGUAGGGGGCAAGCGUUGUCCGGAAUCAUUGGGCGUAAAGCGCGCGUAGGCGGCCCUGUAAGUCCGUUGUGAAAGUCAAAGGCUCAACCUUUGAAAGCCGAUGGAUACUGCAGGGCUAGAGUUCGGAAGAGGCGAGUGGAAUUCCUGGUGUAGCGGUGGAAUGCGCAGAUAUCAGGAAGAACACCCGUGGCGAAGGCGGUUCUCUGGGACGGUACUGACGCUGAGACGCGAAAGCGUGGGGAGCGAACAGG